CACCCAUGUGCCUGGAUUCAGUGUUGCUGUCACACCGUCACGUGUCCCUGGGCAGACACCUGCACCCAAGAGUGCUUCCAGGAGUGCCGUUGACAUGGUAGCAUUUCUAAAGUUGGGUCUCCACCCAUGUUCACGGCAGCCUGGCACACAGCGUGCUUCGGAGGAAGCACCUCCAGCCAUGUCCUGUGAGACCAGCAGAAGUCGAUCGGAGUGUGCUCUGAACCUGGAUGAGGGUACAGCAUUUGGUAGGUGCUACCCGUUCAGUAAAUAGGUUAGUAAUUGUGGAAAAGUAAUGCAUGCUUAUGGUAAACACUGCAGGAAGUUUCAAAGAAAAUCCAAAUCACCUUUAUUCCUGCCACCUGUUUAUAUUCCGAGGCCUUGAAGACCCUCGGUUAUCAAUGUGGACACAAGGGCAGUGGUGUGCUGUGCACCUCAUUCCUGCUGGGUCUCCAUGGGGUGGAGGGUGCUAGCCUGCAGAGCUCUGGCCGGGAAGGAUGUCCAGGAGUCAGUCCUCUGUCCUGCUUCAGCUUGUCUGAGCUGAGCCGUCCCGGGCCUGAGGGAAGCAUCCUGACUGAUACAGUGAAUCUGGGAAAGGAUUUUACAAGCUGGGACUUUGAUGUAUUGCUAUGCCAUUGCCCCCCGCUCUGGUUAUAAGCAAGCAUGUAUUUAUUGAGGAGAGUUUUGAAAAUAGAAUACACAAUGAAAAACUCAUCUUUAAUAUCACCCACUGUCCAAAGAUAAUUCCUAUCAGCAUUUUAUUCUAUAUUUCUAUCAUCUGUAGUUACUUAUCUCUUGCCAUGUCAUUUAUUUAUUUAUUUAUUUAUUUAUUUUAUUUAUUUAUCGUUUUGCCAUGUCAUUUAAAUAUAUCUGGCUCCUUAAUCUUUUGGGGCAUAUUUAGGGCCAUUGUUUAUCAAACCAUCCAAACAAUUGUUGCUUCUAGCUUUCUUGUUAUUAUAAACACCCAUGGGUUGGACAUCCCUGUACCUACAUCUUUGGGCACAUAUGUGAUAAUGUUUGUUUAUUUUUUUUAGGGUUCGUGAUAAUGUUUUUAAGGUAGCAGUGAAUCCCUUGAUUAAAGUGUAUGAACAGUUUGUGUGAACCUUACAAGAAAGAGCUGAAGGGAUUAAAAGCGGCUCUGUCUGGCAAGCUUUCCCCCUGGUAUGGGCAGCAGUGGGGCAGAGGAAUGCUGUUUUCUUUACAAGCACUGUGUCUGACUUUUCCUUUGGACCAAGUCGGUAUACCAGUGGGAUAAACAUUGCAUUGUGAGAAUUAUCUGCUUUCCCCAAAUAAAGCACAAUUACAUACUAAAAAAAAGGUGCAUGGGCAUUUUAUUUUAUUUAUAUUUUUUUUGCAUGGGCAUUUUAAAAGAAUAUAUAUUAUACACC
Molecule: long non-coding RNA, 1385 nt
Filed under: Canis lupus familiaris (dog)
Lineage: Eukaryota; Metazoa; Chordata; Mammalia; Carnivora; Canidae
Description: lncRNA (ENSCAFG00000056106.1, ENSCAFG00805002879.1, ENSCAFG00845011312.1)
Source: RNAcentral